This 164-nucleotide ribosomal RNA is filed under the name uncultured bacterium. RNAcentral's name for it is "partial 16S ribosomal RNA". It matches the Rfam family "Bacterial small subunit ribosomal RNA", at positions 355 to 511 of the family's 1533-position model. The record is from RNAcentral.
UAGGGAAUCUUCCACAAUGGACGAAAGUCUGAUGGAGCAACGCCGCGUGAGUGAAGAAGGGUUUCGGCUCGUAAAACUCUGUUGUUAAAGAAGAACAUAUCUGAGAGUAACUGUUCAGGUAUUGACGGUAUUUAACCAGAAAGGAACGGCUAACUACGUGCUAG